CAUCGGCCCUUAGCACUGAGGGGACCUUCCUGGGGCCCAGCGAGCUGCCCCCUCAUGCUGCUAGGCAGCGUCAAUUCGCUCUCGGGUGGUGCGCAAACGAUCGGGUGUGGCCGGCAUGGCCUGUGUUGUGAAUAGCAGGGCAGGAGGCAAGCGGGGAGAGCAGUUACAGCUGUGUGCGGGUUUCCUGUAGAAAACAUGGGUUCGUGUCCGAUCCCCCUGCCAGCCAAACCCCGCUGCCCCGGGCCUAACAAACAGUGAGCUGACUACGUGUAGCGAAGUAACCAAAGACACACCAGCUUGCCGGGGUGUCGUGUUGGCGGUGUGGCCACUGCAGCAGCCCCAGUGUGAAAUAGCUACUCUGACUCCUGCAAAAUCAGCCCCGCCGGCUCCCAUUCCUCCCAAGAGGAGUUUUGUCAGAGGCUUGAGCAAUUUGAAGGCAGGUGCUCAUCUGCACAUGACAAACGGGGAUCUUUAACGUUUGCAUCAAAACCCCAGGAGAGUCGGUUUUGGAAGAGAAACGGUGGUCGCAACUCGUUCCUUUCCGAGCAGGAUCAGUACACGGUGUAGGGGAUUGCUGCAAAGGAUGAAGCUAAAGCGGAGAUGGGCCACGUUUGUUGCUCAGGUCAUUAGGGACCCUGGACACACUGGAACUAAGGACACCACCAGAACCACAGGACAUCAAAGGACAGGAGCCACAAACAUGAACACCAGGAUACUCAGGACAGG
This is a long non-coding RNA of Chelonoidis abingdonii (Abingdon island giant tortoise), 726 nucleotides long. RefSeq lists it as uncharacterized. The record is from RefSeq and is a predicted model, not a curated record. NCBI's taxonomy places the organism in Eukaryota, Metazoa, Chordata, Testudines, Testudinidae.